UACGUAGGGAGCGAGCGUUAUCCGGAUUUAUUGGGUGUAAAGGGUGCGUAGACGGGAAAUUAAGUUGGUUGUGAAAUCCCUUGGCUUAACUGAGGAACUGCAACCAAAACUGGCUUUCUUGAGUGCAGGAGAGGAAAGCGGAAUUCCUAGUGUAGCGGUGAAAUGCGUAGAUAUUAGGAGGAACACCAGUGGCGAAGGCGGCUUUCUGGACUGUAACUGACGUUGAGGCACGAAAGCGUGGGGAGCAAAC
This 250-nucleotide ribosomal RNA is filed under the name uncultured prokaryote. RNAcentral describes it as "partial 16S ribosomal RNA". It matches the Rfam family "Bacterial small subunit ribosomal RNA", at positions 524 to 773 of the family's 1533-position model. The record is from RNAcentral.